Molecule: small RNA, 27 nt
Filed under: Bombyx mori (domestic silkworm)
Lineage: Eukaryota; Metazoa; Arthropoda; Insecta; Lepidoptera; Bombycidae
Description: ovarian small RNA-14263
Source: RNAcentral
CGAUCCGAGUUCACCUCGGUGGGACCU